Panicum virgatum (switchgrass) is the source of this 810-nucleotide long non-coding RNA. RefSeq lists it as uncharacterized. The record is from RefSeq and is a predicted model, not a curated record. The transcript has 2 exons. Lineage: Eukaryota; Viridiplantae; Streptophyta; Magnoliopsida; Poales; Poaceae.
CCCUCCCAAGCAUCAUCAGAUGGUAACUCAUCAAGGAAUUCUGAGGCAGCAAUACCUAGUUCAACACAGUCAUCAUCUAGUUUGUUUGCAACUAGGUUGGGACUAGAGAAGUUUAUAUAUGAGAGCAAUUCAAGUCGUCAUAGUAAAUCAGAGUUGGAGAUCUAUCUCGAAGAUCCGUCUUCUCCUGGAAUUGGCAAUAGUUCUUUUGAUAUUCUGGCUUGGUGGAGGGUUAAUGGCCCAAAAUAUCCAAUCAUUUCUCGGAUGGCUCAUGAUAUAUUGAGUGUUCCACUUUCAAUCGUAGCCUCUGAGUCAAUUUUCAGUUCUGCUAAAAGAAUACUUGAUGAUUAUCGCUGCAACCUCGGAAAUAAUUGAGGCUAUAAUGUGUUCACAUGAUUGGCUCAAGGGUCGCAUACCAGUUGAGCCGAGAGUUGUCGAAGAUAGCAUACCUGCUUAUGAAUUAUUUGUAGCAACUCGAAAUCAGGAAGAUCAAACUGAUGGUGAUUAAGGUAGGCUUUCAUGUUUCACCCUACUCUAAUGGCACUAGAUUGCUUUAUUCAAUAUUAUACACUGAGCUGUUGACAUUUAUACUCUUUUAAGAAAAAAAUGUGAGUCUCACAUAUUUCAGCAUAUCAGUCUAGCCGCUAAAGUAUAGAAUCAGACCUUUGUGUCCUCGUCGAUCUGAAAUUCUGCAUUUUGUAGUGUUGUAUUUUCAUAUACCUUGUUUGAAAUAUGGCUUACCCUUGUCUAAGCUGACAAUAUUAUAACUUUUCAGCAAUCAAGGAAGAAGAAAGAUCUGAUACAAUGUUUGUG